This 619-nucleotide ribosomal RNA is filed under the name Dujonia santamariae. RNAcentral describes it as "eukaryotic LSU rRNA". The stretch from base 228 to 381 matches the Rfam family "5.8S ribosomal RNA". Lineage: Eukaryota; Fungi; Ascomycota; Pichiomycetes; Serinales; Debaryomycetaceae. The record is from RNAcentral.
CAAGGUUUCCCUAGGUGAACCUGCGGAAGGAUCAUUACAGUAUUCUUUUGCCAGCGCUUAAAUGCGCGGCGAAAAACCUUACACACUUGUUUUUCUUAUUUGAAACUAUUGCUUUGGUCUGUCUUAGAAAAAAGUUGGGCCAAAGGUUUACACCAAACUUCAAAAUUUAUAUUGAAAUGUUAUUUUAAAUAUUUGUCAAAUUGUUGAUUAAAAUCAAAAAACUUCAAAACUUUCAACAACGGAUCUCUUGGUUCUCGCAUCGAUGAAGAACGCAGCGAAAUGCGAUAAGUAAAAUGAAAUGCAGAUUUUCGUGAAACAUCGAAACUUUGAACGCACAUUGCGCCCUUUGGUAUUCCAAAGGGCAUGCCUGUUUGAGCGUCAUUUCUCUCUCAAAACUUCGGAUUUGGUUUUGAGUGAUACUCUUAGUCAGACUAAGCGUUUGCUUGAAAAGUAUUGGCAUGAGUGGUACUAGAUAGUGCUGAACUGUUUCAAAGUAUUAGGUUUAUCCAACUCGUUGACCAGUAAAGUAUUUGUUUAUUACACAGGCUCGGCCUUACAACAACAAACAAAGUUUGACCUCAAAACAGGUAGGACUACCCCCUGAACUUAAGCAUAUCAA